AGAGUUUGCUUCUGGCUCAGGAUGAACGCUGGCGGCGUGCUUAACACAUGCAAGUCGAACGAAGCACUCUAUUUGAUUUUCUUCGGAAAUGAAGAUUUUGUGACUGAGUGGCGGACGGGUGAGUAACGCGUGGGUAACCUGCCUCAUACAGGGGGAUAACAGUUGGAAACGACUGCUAAUACCGCAUAAGCGCACAGGAUCGCAUGAUCCGGUGUGAAAAACUCCGGUGGUAUGGGAUGGACCCGCGUCUGAUUAGCCAGUUGGCAGGGUAACGGCCUACCAAAGCGACGAUCAGUAGCCGACCUGAGAGGGUGACCGGCCACAUUGGGACUGAGACACGGCCCAAACUCCUACGGGAGGCAGCAGUGGGGAAUAUUGCACAAUGGGGGAAACCCUGAUGCAGCGACGCCGCGUGAGCGAAGAAGUAUUUCGGUAUGUAAAGCUCUAUCAGCAGGGAAGAAGAAUGACGGUACCUGACUAAGAAGCACCGGCUAAAUACGUGCCAGCAGCCGCGGUAAUACGUAUGGUGCAAGCGUUAUCCGGAUUUACUGGGUGUAAAGGGAGCGCAGGCGGUGCGGCAAGUCUGAUGUGAAAGGCUGGGGCUCAACCCCGGGACUGCAUUGGAAACUGCCCGUCUUGAGUGCCGGAGAGGUAAGCGGAAUUCCUAGUGUAGCGGUGAAAUGCGUAGAUAUUAGGAGGAACACCAGUGGCGAAGGCGGCUUACUGGACGGUAACUGACGUUGAGGCUCGAAAGCGUGGGGAGCAAACAGGAUUAGAUACCCUGGUAGUCCACGCGGUAAGCGAU
Molecule: ribosomal RNA, 805 nt
Filed under: uncultured bacterium
Lineage: Bacteria
Description: bacterial SSU rRNA
Rfam family: Bacterial small subunit ribosomal RNA
Source: RNAcentral